RNAcentral lists this ribosomal RNA (852 nucleotides) under Semisulcospira libertina. RNAcentral describes it as "partial 16S ribosomal RNA". The stretch from base 310 to 565 matches the Rfam family "Archaeal large subunit ribosomal RNA", at positions 1784 to 2143 of the family's 2987-position model. Lineage: Eukaryota; Metazoa; Mollusca; Gastropoda; Semisulcospiridae. The record is from RNAcentral.
AAAGUUAAAUUUAUGAUACUAGUCUCAUAUAUAUAUAUACAGCUUUUUUACUAAUUUUCUUGAGGAUAAGCUCAAGAAAAAAUUAAGAUAUUUUUAAUUAAAAAAUUACUGUGUAGGCUUAAAAUUGGUCACCACAAAAGUUUGUUAUAAAAUAUUGGUUUUAACUUAAAAAAUAAAUAUAUUUUAAUCUAAUUUUUUACGAGAAUAAAAGUUUUAAUUGAUAUAAGCUUUAUGCCUAUGCUAGGAUGAGUAUUAUAAACCUGAUUUUUAAAAGAAAUUUAUUCAUAUUUUUUCUUAAAAACCCGAAUUUAGAAAAAUUAAUUAAUUAAAAGGAACUCGGCAAAUUCUGCUGCUCCGCCUGUUUAUCAAAAACAUGGCUCUUUGUUAACUUAAAUAUAAAGAGUCGAGCCUGCCCAGUGAAUUUUCAACGGCCGCGGUACCCUAACCGUGCAAAGGUAGCAUAAUCACUUGCCUUAUAAUUGAAGGCUAGAAUGAAUGGUCUAACGAGAGUGGCACUGUCUCUUUUUUAUUUUCAAGAACUUAACUUUUAGGUGAAGAGGCCUAAAUUUUAUUGAAGGACAAGAAGACCCUGUCGAGCUUAAAAGACAUUAUAGAUGCUUAUAAUAUAUUUUUAAAUAAAUUUCUAUUAAGCUUUUUAGUUGGGGCGACUAAGGAACAAGAAAAGCUUCUUUAAAAAAAUAAAUAAUCAUAUUUAGAUCCGAUAAUAAUCGAUUAAAGAAAUUAGUUACCGCAGGGAUAACAGCAUAAUCUCUCUUGAGAGACCUAAUCGAAAGAGGGGGUUGUGACCUCGAUGUUGGACUAGAAUAUCCUAAAGAUGCAGAAUCUUUGAGG